GUCCAUCUAUAGACAGGAGUUUUGGGAUAAACUCAUCAAUGAAGUGUCCAGUUAUUCGUCCCAUAUCAUACACUCAGUUCUUUUGUAUAUGCGUUUGUUGACACUGAUUGUGAUUAGAAUUCAAUAGUAAUUAUAACAACAAUCAUCCUUAUCACACACAUCUUCAAAUAGACUGUCCUUAUGCAAAUUAAAACAUAAGCUCCGCCCGAU
This 210-nucleotide long non-coding RNA is filed under the name Mytilus galloprovincialis (Mediterranean mussel). Lineage: Eukaryota; Metazoa; Mollusca; Bivalvia; Mytilida; Mytilidae. The record is from RNAcentral.